RNAcentral lists this ribosomal RNA (254 nucleotides) under uncultured bacterium. RNAcentral describes it as "partial 16S ribosomal RNA". It matches the Rfam family "Bacterial small subunit ribosomal RNA", at positions 524 to 776 of the family's 1533-position model. The record is from RNAcentral.
UACGGGGGGAGCAAGCGUUGUUCGGAUUUACUGGGCGUAAAGGGCGCGUAGGCGGCCUCUGCAAGUCGACUGUGAAAUCUCCGGGCUUAACCCGGAAAGGUCAGCCGAUACUGCAGGGCUAGAGUGCAGAAGGGGCAACUGGAAUUCUCGGUGUAGCGGUGAAAUGCGUAGAUAUCGAGAGGAACACCUGCGGCGAAGGCGGGUUGCUGGGCUGACACUGACGCUGAGGCGCGAAUGCUAGGGGAGCGAACGGG